UUGAAAUCCAGUCUGUGGCAUGGGACACAAGAAGUGUCACCUAAAACUAUGGAAGGAGAUAGAAAACAAUGGAAGAAGGCUGUCUGAUCAAUUUGAUCUUACAGAGCACAGAAGGAGACCACAGAGCUAUCCAGCCACCAACAUGCUUUCUUCUUCAGGACAGGAGAAGAAAGACCCUGAAGAGUUUCUCCAGAGGAAGGAAUUUUGCCUCAAGAUGAAUCUGUAUUCAAGUCUCACUGAUUUAAAUGAUGCUUAGAUGAGACAUUAAAUGUCAGAGUGGAUGCUGGGAUGAGUAAAGACUUUUGGGUCUGUCAUGAC
This 318-nucleotide long non-coding RNA is filed under the name Heterocephalus glaber (naked mole-rat). Its description in RNAcentral is "lncRNA (ENSHGLG00100043110.1)". The record is from RNAcentral. Lineage: Eukaryota; Metazoa; Chordata; Mammalia; Rodentia; Bathyergidae.